This 468-nucleotide ribosomal RNA is filed under the name uncultured bacterium. RNAcentral's name for it is "partial 16S ribosomal RNA". It matches the Rfam family "Bacterial small subunit ribosomal RNA", at positions 28 to 507 of the family's 1533-position model. The record is from RNAcentral.
GACGAACGCUGGCGGCGUGCUUAAUACAUGCAAGUCGAACGGAAAGGCCCUGCUUUUGUGGGGGGCUCGAGUGGCGAACGGGUGAGUAACACGUGAGUAACCGGGCCGUGACUUGGGGAUAACUUCAGGAAACUGGGGCUAAUAUCGGAUAGAAUCGCCUGCGGCAUGGAGUGCGUUGGAAAAGUUCGGCGGUUGGGGAUGGACUCGGGGCUUAUUAGCUUGUUGGUGGGGUAGUGACUUACCAAGGCUUUGACGGGUAGCCGGCCUGAGAGGGUGACCGGGGACCUUGGGACUGAGAUACGGCCCAGACUCCUACGGGAGGCAGCAGUAGGGAAUAUUACCCAAUGGGCGGGAGUCUGAUGCAGCAACGCCGCGUGCGGGAUGACGGGCUUCGGGUUGUAAACCGCUUUCGAAGGUGACGAAGAGUGAGUGACGGUAAUGGGUCAAGAAGCACCGGCUAACUACGUG